RNAcentral lists this ribosomal RNA (375 nucleotides) under uncultured Corynebacterium sp. Its description in RNAcentral is "bacterial SSU rRNA". It matches the Rfam family "Bacterial small subunit ribosomal RNA", at positions 1014 to 1382 of the family's 1533-position model. The record is from RNAcentral. Lineage: Bacteria; Bacillati; Actinomycetota; Actinomycetes; Mycobacteriales; Corynebacteriaceae.
UUCCAUCUGGAAGAAUCUGGAGACAGGUGCUGCAUGGCUGUCGUCAGCUCGUGUCGUGAGAUGUUGGGUUAAGUCCCGCAACGAGCGCAACCCUUGUCUUAUGUUGCCAGCACGUGAUGGUGGGGACGUCAUGAGAGACUGCCGGGGUUAACUCGGAGGAAGGUGGGGAUGACGUCAAAUCAUCAUGCCCCUUAUGUCCAGGGCUUCACACAUGCUACAAUGGUCGGUACAACGCGUGUGCGACACUGUGAGGUGAAGCUAAUCGCUCUAAAGCCGGUCGUAGUUCGGAUUGGGGUCUGCAACUCGACCCCAUGAAGUCGGAGUCGCUAGUAAUCGCAGAUCAGCAACGCUGCGGUGAAUACGUUCCCGGGCCUU